GGAUGUCAGGGUGACUUGGCUGUGACAUCUGUCCCCCUACUGACAGCCAGGGUGAGCUGGCUGACCUGGCUGGCUAGGUGGUGUCCCUUUCCUCCCUCCCCGCUCCAUGUCCAUCCCUCCCGAAGCUGCACACUCUGUGGAAGAGGAUCCCCCCCCCCCCACAGGAGGCGCGUUUCCCCCUUUGCUGGAACCUCCAAACAAGCUCUCAGGGCUGUCCUCUAAGAAUGGCCCUACACUGCAGCCCACAAGUUUCUUUAUUAUUUUAACUUUUAAUCAGUUCAAAAUAUUUUCUAAUUUUCAUU
RNAcentral lists this small nuclear RNA (302 nucleotides) under Chinchilla lanigera (long-tailed chinchilla). Its description in RNAcentral is "7SK RNA (ENSCLAG00000021933.1)". It matches the Rfam family "7SK RNA". Rfam says of the family: 7SK was discovered as an abundant small nuclear RNA in the mid-70s but a possible function has only recently been suggested. The record is from RNAcentral. Lineage: Eukaryota; Metazoa; Chordata; Mammalia; Rodentia; Chinchillidae.